GAUGAACGCUAGCUACAGGCUUAACACAUGCAAGUCGAGGGGAAACGACAUUGGAAGCUUGCUUCCGAUAGGCGUCGACCGGCGCACGGGUGAGUAACGCGUAUCCAACCUGCCCACCACUUGGGGAUAACCUUGCGAAAGUAAGACCUAAUACCCGAUGAUAUCUCUAGAAGACAUCUGAAAGGGAUUAAAGAUUUAUCGGUGAUGGAUGGGGAUGCGUUUGAUUAGCUUGUUGGCGGGGUAACGGCCCACCAAGGCAACGAUCAGUAGGGGUUCUGAGAGGAAGGUCCCCCACAUUGGAAAUGAGACACGGUCCAAACUCCUACGGGAGGCAGCAGUGAGGAAUAUUGGUCAAUGGGCGAGAGCCUGAACCAGCCAAGUAGCGUGCAGGACGACGGCCCUAUGGGUUGUAAACUGCUUUUAUAAGGGAAUAAAGUGAGUCUCGUGAGACUUUUUGCAUGUACCUUAUGAAUAAGGACC
This 480-nucleotide ribosomal RNA is filed under the name uncultured bacterium. Its description in RNAcentral is "SSU rRNA". It matches the Rfam family "Bacterial small subunit ribosomal RNA", at positions 28 to 494 of the family's 1533-position model. The record is from RNAcentral.